RNAcentral lists this ribosomal RNA (252 nucleotides) under Dialister propionicifaciens. RNAcentral's name for it is "partial 16S ribosomal RNA". It matches the Rfam family "Bacterial small subunit ribosomal RNA", at positions 524 to 776 of the family's 1533-position model. The record is from RNAcentral. Lineage: Bacteria; Bacillati; Bacillota; Negativicutes; Veillonellales; Veillonellaceae.
UACGUAGGUGGCAAGCGUUGUCCGGAAUUAUUGGGCGUAAAGCGCGCGCAGGCGGCUUACUAAGUCCAUCUUAAAAGUGCGGGGCUUAACCCCGUGAUGGGAUGGAAACUGGGAAGCUGGAGUAUCGGAGAGGAAAGUGGAAUUCCUAGUGUAGCGGUGAAAUGCGUAGAGAUUAGGAAGAACACCGGUGGCGAAGGCGACUUUCUGGACGAAAACUGACGCUGAGGCGCGAAAGCGUGGGGAGCAAACAGG